AAGUAUACCAACAACCCAACUUGUUAUUUCGACAGGAUGGACAACUGAUCGCAAUGUAAUAUGUUGACUUCACUAUUCUCAAAAGACUACAACUCAAACAACAUGGUUUUGCUACCAUAGAAAGAGAAAUCAAUACAUAUCUAGUUUCAUUCCAUUGUUCUGGUGGAAGAAAAUGGUGCGGCUAUUCUUCAUUUUCAAGAGGCUUGGCAAUCUACUAAUUUUGGAGGAUAAACUUUGUUUUGAUACGAAUGACCUUGUGCUUUAUUUGGAAUUUGUGAUGAAAAAUGAUCUUGCUCAAAGCAAGAUAGGUGGAAGAAUUUGUGAUCUUAGUAUGGGCGGUGUAGGAAAUAUUACUCCCUCUUGCACUUUUUAUCAGGUAUGCAUAUUAUGUAUCAAGAUGCAAAUUUAGAAUAUUCUUUUAGUGAAAUACUAGAACUAAUGGUUUUCUUUUUAAAUUGAGCUUGGCACGAGUAACCAUGAAAGGAUUGUUUUUAUGAUAUUUAUAGUUAUUGACCUUGCAAAAUUGUCGCUUUGAUUUAAAAUUUAAUCUAUUGGUAAGGACUAGUAAUUUGUUGCUAAAAUUAGAUGAGUUUUAGUGUUAUAGAUGGAAUGGAACCAAAAGUUUCUUAUUUAGAACUCAAAAUCUAAGUUAGUUUUAUGGUAUAAUUAGAUGCCUAUUGUAUCAAAUUCAUAGCUAUUUUAGUAUUUUUAGAUUCUUUAUAGUUUGCAAUACAUUAUUAGUAUCAAGUAUAAAUAAUUUCAUGAAUUCUAUAUAAUGAUUUUGAAUAUAUUGUAGAUUGAUUCUUGCUAUUCAUCAAUGUUAAUUUUCUUUAAAUUUCUUUUAGGUAUAAAAAUAGCGUGGAAUUAGUCGUGGAUUGGCAUCACAAAAAAUAAUGAAUGCAAAUAAGAAUAAACUUAUUGUACAAACUAGAGGGAGAUAUAUGCUCAUUUGGUAAAGCAUUCUCUUUGCCAAUGAUAUUGACAUCAUGCGAAAUAUUGUCUCAUAGCGCUUUUUGGAGUGCAUCGACUGACCAUGGUAGGGGAACUAGCCUACAAGCGUCUUAAUGUAAGUAAAUUUUGUAAUAAAUUUAAAUUAUGUUUACUAUAAUCAAUUAAAAGUUUUUUUACCUUGAUGUUAUGGAAAUGUUGAUUUAAAUGAUCAUCAGUUAUUUGAAGUUAUCGUAAGAUGUCAUUAGAGGUAUAAAAAACACAAAAGCGCAUGUAAUAAAAAUACAUAAAAUUAAAUUUAGAGGGAAAUGAUCCGCUACAGUGUAAGCCAUCAACCAUUAAAUCACAAGAGGAUUGGGAGUGGAUGUGUGCACAUCUCAAAAGCGAGAAGUUAUGAUAUUUUAAAUUCAAUUAUUUCAAUAUUACUUUUACGAUGUUGUAAAUUAAAGUUGGAUGAAUGUUUUGCCUAAUUAAUUACUUGUAUGUUUAUAGAAGUGAUCUGUAACAGGCAAUUGAGUCAAGACUCUAUAUAAUCACCAUGGUGGGAUUAGGUCAUUUACUGUGACUAGGGGAGCAAGCACUGGUAUUAAAAUCUGCUGCAUGCUUUCCUAUUCGUUAACUAAUUAUAGAUUUUUUGAUGAGCAACAAUUAUGUUCUGUAAUUCUUGCUUGAUACCACCAUAUUUUUGUACACUUCAUCUUAGCACACCGCUAUAUGAAAUUUUUCCUUUGGGGGAGUGAAUCUAGAGGCAAAUUUUCUUUUAUAGUGGCAGACCUUCUCGUGUUUAUGUCUUUGAUAGAUCUCAUGAUUUAUGAGUUUAGUUUUGUUUUCCAGUGAAAGAUGCAAAUUACAUGACAUUUGACUUUGGCUUUAGAGUUAAAAAAAAGGGAAAGAAGCCAUAUUUUCUGCUUCAAAUUUUUAUAAUGCCGUUAAUCUUGUUAUUAUGUGGGUUCUCCUUGGUGGAUUUAUUCGAGUCAGCAUACUAAAAAAUUAAUGGAAAGCAUCCCAUGCCUCUAUUUUAUGAUAAAGUUCUCCCCUCAACGUCGAUUUUCAUGUCAGUUUGUAGUUGAAUUCCUAAUAUGAGUUGAUUAUUCAUGCUCAUUUUCACUUAGGUUCUAAUUUUUUGCUCUGCUGUGAUGUGUGUCGAAAGCAAAAUGUCAUUAUUUAUUCAUGUUUUUCCAUAUGGGAACAGAAGUCUUCAUGGGGGCAGUGAAGGAGUGUUGAGGUUUUCGAUUUGGUUUUACUUGGUUUUUAGCCUCCGUUUGACAUCAUUAAUUUUCAUUCCAG
RNAcentral lists this long non-coding RNA (2235 nucleotides) under Olea europaea subsp. europaea. The record is from RNAcentral. Lineage: Eukaryota; Viridiplantae; Streptophyta; Magnoliopsida; Lamiales; Oleaceae.